UACGGAAGGUGCAAGCGUUCUCCUGAUUCCCUGGGUUUAAAGGGAGCGUAGGUGGGUUGGUCGGUCAGUGGUGAAAUCCCCGAGCUUAACUUGGGAACUGCCAUUGAUACUAUCAGUCUUGAAUACCGUGGAGGUCAGCGGAAUAUGUCAUGUAGCGGUGAAAUGCUUAGAUAUGACAUAGAACACCAAUUGCGAAGGCAGCUGGCUACACGAAUAUUGACACUGAGGCGCGAAAGCGUGGGGAUCAAACAGG
This 253-nucleotide ribosomal RNA is filed under the name uncultured bacterium. Its description in RNAcentral is "partial 16S ribosomal RNA". It matches the Rfam family "Bacterial small subunit ribosomal RNA", at positions 524 to 776 of the family's 1533-position model. The record is from RNAcentral.